This is a non-coding RNA of Triticum aestivum (bread wheat), 107 nucleotides long. NCBI's taxonomy places the organism in Eukaryota, Viridiplantae, Streptophyta, Magnoliopsida, Poales, Poaceae. The record is from Rfam.
AGUAGGGGAGCGAACAGGAUUAGAUACCCUGGUAGUCCAUGCCGUAAACGAUGAGUGUUUGCCCUUGGUCUACGCAGAUCAGGGGCCCAGCUAACGCGUGAAAGUUC